Molecule: ribosomal RNA, 1476 nt
Filed under: uncultured organism
Description: partial small subunit ribosomal RNA
Rfam family: Bacterial small subunit ribosomal RNA
Source: RNAcentral
GUGCUUAACACAUGCAAGUCGAACGAAGAGCGAGGGACUCUUGCUUCUAUCAAUCUUGAGUGGCGAACGGGUGAGUAACGCGUAAUCAACCUGCACCUUCAGAGGGGGACAACAGUUGGAAACGACUGCUAAUACCGCAUACGAUCUAACCUCGGCAUCGAGGAUAGAUGAAAGGAGGCCUCUACAUGUGAAGCUAUCACUGAAGGAGGGGAUUGCGUCUGAUUAGCUAGUUGGAGGGGUAACGGCCCACCAAGGCGAUGAUCAGGAACCCGGUCUGAGAGGAUGAACGGCCACCUUGGAGACUGACACACGGCCCAGACUCCUACGGUAGGCAACAGUGGGGAAUCUUCCGCAAUGGACGAAAGUCUGACGGAGCAACGCCUCGUGAGUGAUGACGGCCUUCGGGUUGAAAAGCUCUGUUAAUCGGGACAAAAGGACUUCUUGCGAAUAUAUAUAACGAUUGACGGUACCGGAAUAAAAAGCCACGGCUAACUACGAGCCACCGGCCGCGGUAAUACCUAAGUGGCAAACGUUGUCCGGAAUUAUUGGCUGUAGAGUGCGCGCAGGCACAUAGGCCAAUCUGUCUUAGAAGUACGGGGCUUAACCCCGUGAUGGGAUGGAAACUGCCAAUCUAGAGUAUCGAAAAGGAAAGUGGAAUUCCUAGUGUAGCGGUGAAAUGCGAAUAUAUUAGAAACAACACCACUGGCGAAUGCGACUUUCUGGACAAUAACUGACGCUGAGGCGCGAAAGCCAGAGGAGCGAACGGGAUUAUAUACCCCGGUAGUCCUGGCCGCAGACGAUGGGUACUAAGUGUACGAGGUAUCGAUCGGUUCUGCGCCGGAGUUAACGCAAUAUGUACCCCGGAUGGGGAGUACGCACCGCAAGGUUGAAAAUCAAAGGAAGUGGCGGGGCACAGCACAAGCGGCGGAGUAUGUGGUUUAAUUCGACGCGACGAGCAGAACCUUAACAGGUCUUGACAUUGAUGGGCAGAUCCAGAGUUGGUUCCUAUUUUUCUGAAGCCAGAAAACCGGUGGUGCCCGGUUGUUGUCAGCUUGUGUUGUGAGAUGGUGGGGUAAGUUCCGCAACGAGCGCCACCCCUAUUUUAUGUUGCCAGCCCGUAAAGGUGGGAAUUCAGGAGAGACUGCCGCAGUCAAUGCGGAGGAAGGGGGGGAGGAGGUCAAUUCUUCAUGCCCCUUAUGACAUGGGUUCCCCACGUAUUCCAAUGGGAGUUAAUAGAGGGAAGAGUGAUCGAGAGAGGGAGCAUAUCCGAGAAACACUCUCUCAGUUCGGAUUGUUGGGCGCAUCUCGCACACGAGAAGUGGGAAUCGAUUGUAAUCGCAGGUCAGCAUAGUGCGGAGAAUGCGUUCCCGGGCCUCGCACACCCCGCCCGUCACCCCGGGAAAGUCGGAAGUGCCCAAACCCGGUGGGGUAACCCUCGGGAGCCAGCCGUCUAAGGUAAAGUCGAUGAUUGGGGUG